Molecule: ribosomal RNA, 779 nt
Filed under: Tetragenococcus halophilus
Lineage: Bacteria; Bacillati; Bacillota; Bacilli; Lactobacillales; Enterococcaceae
Description: bacterial SSU rRNA
Rfam family: Bacterial small subunit ribosomal RNA
Source: RNAcentral
UGAAGAAGGUUUUCGGAUCGUAAAGCUCUGUUGUCAGCAAAGAACAGGAGAAAGAGGCAAUGCUUUUUCUAUGACGGUAGCUGACCAGAAAGCCACGGCUAACUACGUGCCAGCAGCCGCGGUAAUACGUAGGUGGCAAGCGUUGUCCGGAUUUAUUGGGCGUAAAGCGAGCGCAGGCGGUGAUUUAAGUCUGAUGUGAAAGCCCCCAGCUCAACUGGGGAGGGUCAUUGGAAACUGGAUCACUUGAGUGCAGAAGAGGAGAGUGGAAUUCCAUGUGUAGCGGUGAAAUGCGUAGAUAUAUGGAGGAACACCAGUGGCGAAGGCGGCUCUCUGGUCUGUAACUGACGCUGAGGCUCGAAAGCGUGGGUAGCAAACAGGAUUAGAUACCCUGGUAGUCCACGCCGUAAACGAUGAGUGCUAAGUGUUGGAGGGUUUCCGCCCUUCAGUGCUGCAGUUAACGCAUUAAGCACUCCGCCUGGGGGAGUACGACCGCAAGGUUGAAACUCAAAGGAAUUGACGGGGGCCCGCCACAAGCGGUGGAGCAUGUGGUUUAAAUUCGAAGCAACGCGAAAGAACCCUUACCAGGUCUUGACAUCCCUUUGACCGCCCCUAGAGAUAGGGUUUCCCCCUUCGGGGGCAAAGUGACAGGUGGUGCAUGGUUGUCGUCAGCUCGUGUCGUGAGAUGUUGGGUUAAGUCCCGCCAACGAGGGCGCACCCCUUAUUGUUAGUUGCCAGCAUUGCGUUUGGCACUCUACAAGGCUCCGGUGACAACCGGAGGA